RNAcentral lists this ribosomal RNA (1828 nucleotides) under Euplatypus parallelus. RNAcentral's name for it is "partial 18S ribosomal RNA". It matches the Rfam family "Eukaryotic small subunit ribosomal RNA", at positions 54 to 1652 of the family's 1831-position model. The record is from RNAcentral. Lineage: Eukaryota; Metazoa; Arthropoda; Insecta; Coleoptera; Curculionidae.
CAUGUCUCAGUACAAGCCACAUUAAAGUNAAACCGCUAAAGGCUCAUUANAUCAUUUAUGGUUCCUUNGAUCAUANCAAAUUUACUUGGAUAACUGUGGUAAUUCUAGAGCUAAUACAUGCAAACAGAGCUCCGACUGGAAACAGAAGGAGUGCUUUUAUUAGAUCAAAGCCAAUAGGCGUUAUAUGCUUUCCGUAAGGAUUGCAUUUUCGUCGUUCAUUAAAUUGUUGACUCUGAAUAACUUUUUGCUGAUCGCAUGGUCUAGCACCGGCGACGCAUCUUUCAAAUGUCUGCCUUAUCAACUGUCGAUGGUAGGUUCUGCGCCUACCAUGGUUGUAACGGGUAACGGGGAAUCAGGGUUCGAUUCCGGAGAGGGAGCCUGAGAAACGGCUACCACAUCCAAGGAAGGCAGCAGGCGCGCAAAUUACCCACUCCCGGCACGGGGAGGUAGUGACGAAAAAUAACGAUACGGGACUCAUCCGAGGCCCCGUAAUCGGAAUGAGUACACUUUAAAUCCUUUAACGAGGAUCAAUGGAGGGCAANUCUGUGCCAGCAGCCGCGGUAAUUCCAGCUCCAAUAGCGUAUAUUAAAGUUGUUGCGGUUAAAAAGCUCGUAGUCGAAUUUGUGUCUCGUACCGCUGGUUCAUCGUUCGCGGUGUCAACUGGCGUGAUACGAGACGUCCUGCCGGUGGGUUUAGUGCAUGCUAGUUAAAUUCAUUGAUUUGUUUUGUAUUUGUACGGGUGGCCUUAAAACCACUUGUCUGUGCAAGCGGUCUUUGGAUAAUUAGUAUUGUGCGGCCCAAAUUUUUAAUCCUGCCGUGUUGCUCUUGAUUGAGUGACGAGGUGGGCCGGCACGUUUACUUUGAACAAAUUAGAGUGCUUAAAGCAGGCAAAAUUUUCGCCUGAAUAUUCUGUGCAUGGAAUAAUAGAAUAGGACCUCGGUUCUAUUUUGUUGGUUUUCGGAACUCCGAGGUAAUGAUUAAUAGGAACGGAUGGGGGCAUUCGUAUUGCGACGUUAGAGGUGAAAUCUUGGAUCGUCGCAANNNNNNNNNNNNNNNNNNNNNNNNNNNNNNNNNNNNNNNNNNNNNNNNNNNNNNNNUAUUAAGUUCNANGCNAUCANAUACCNCCCUAGUUCUAACCGUAAACUAUGCCAUCUGACGAUUCGUCGACGUUCCAUUAUUGACUCGACGGGCAGUUUCCGGGAAACCAAAGUUUUUGGGUUCCGGGGGAAGUAUGGUUGCAAAGCUGAAACUUAAAGGAAUUGACGGAAGGGCACCACCAGGAGUGGAGCCUGCGGCUUAAUUUGACUCAACACGGGAAACCUCACCAGGCCCGGACACCGGAAGGAUUGACAGAUUGAGAGCUCUUUCUUGAUUCGGUGGGUGGUGGUGCAUGGCCGUUCUUAGUUGGUGGAGCGAUUUGUCUGGUUAAUUCCGAUAACGAACGAGACUCUAGCCUGCUAAAUAGGCGCAAUAAGACAUCGCAAAGGCCAGUCGGUUUGAUUUAUGGGUGGUGGAGUUGCGUUUCGGCGUUUACUUCGCUCCCUUGUCAGAUUGUGCUUGGUUUUUACUGUCGGCGUAUAAAUAAUUCUUCUUAGAGGGACAGGCGGCUUUUAGCCGCACGAGAUUGAGCAAUAACAGGUCUGUGAUGCCCUUAGAUGUUCUGGGCCGCACGCGCGCUACACUGAAGGAAUCAGAGUGUCCUUCCCUGGCCGAGUGGCCCGGGUAACCCGNUGAACCUCCUUNGUGCUAGGGAUUGGGGGUUGCAAUUGUUCCCCAUGAACGAGGAAUUCCCAGUAAGCGNGAGUNAUAAGNUNGNGUUGAUUAGUGC